RNAcentral lists this ribosomal RNA (230 nucleotides) under uncultured bacterium. RNAcentral describes it as "partial 16S ribosomal RNA". It matches the Rfam family "Bacterial small subunit ribosomal RNA", at positions 105 to 334 of the family's 1533-position model. The record is from RNAcentral.
CGGAGGUGAGUAAUGUCUGGGAAACUGCCCGAUGGAGGGGGAUAACUACUGGAAACGGUAGCUAAUACCGCAUAACGUCGCAAGACCAAAGAGGGGGACCUUCGGGCCUCUUGCCAUCGGAUGUGCCCAGAUGGGAUUAGCUAGUAGGUGGGGUAACGGCUCACCUAGGCGACGAUCCCUAGCUGGUCUGAGAGGAUGACCAGCCACACUGGAACUGAGACACGGUCCAG